AGCAUAUCAAUAAGCGGAGGAAAAGAAACUAACAAGGAUUCCCCUAGUAACUGCGAGUGAAGCGGGAAGAGCUCAAAUUUAAAAUCUGGCGGUCUAGGCCGUCCGAGUUGUAGUCUGGAGAAGUGCUUUCCGCGCUGGACCGUGUACAAGUCUCUUGGAACAGAGCGUCAUAGAGGGUGAGAAUCCCGUCUUUGACACGGACUACCAGUGCUUUGUGAUGCGCUCUCGAAGAGUCGAGUUGUUUGGGAAUGCAGCUCAAAAUGGGUGGUAAAUUCCAUCUAAAGCUAAAUAUUGGCGAGAGACCGAUAGCGAACAAGUACCGUGAGGGAAAGAUGAAAAGCACUUUGGAAAGAGAGUUAAACAGUACGUGAAAUUGCUGAAAGGGAAACGAUUGAAGUCAGUCGCGUCGUCCGGAACUCAGCCUCGCCUUCGCUUGGUGCAUUUUCCGGUCGACGGGCCAGCAUCGAUUUUGACUGUCGGAUAAAGGCUGGGGGAACGUGGCACCCUCCGGGGUGUGUUAUAGCCUCCAGUCACAUACGACGGUUGGGAUCGAGGAACUCAGCACGCCUUUAUGGUCGGGGUUCGCCCACGUACGUGCUUAGGAUGCUGGCGUAAUGGCUUUAAACGACCCGUCUUGAAACACGGACCAAGGAGUCUAACAUGCCCGCGAGUGUUUGGGUGGUAAACCCGAGCGCGUAAUGAAAGUGAAAGUUGAGACUCCUGUCGUGGGAGGCAUCGACGCCCGGACCAGACCUUCUGUGACGGCUCCGCGGUAGAGCGUGUAUGUUGGGACCCGAAAGAUGGUGAACUAUGCCUGAAUAGGGUGAAGCCAGAGGAAACUCUGGUGGAGGCUCGUAGCGAUUCUGACGUGCAAAUCGAUCGUCAAAUUUGGGUAUAGGGGCGAAAGACUAAUCGAACCAUCUAGUAGCUGGU
Molecule: ribosomal RNA, 933 nt
Filed under: Grifola frondosa (maitake)
Lineage: Eukaryota; Fungi; Basidiomycota; Agaricomycetes; Polyporales; Grifolaceae
Description: eukaryotic LSU rRNA
Rfam family: Eukaryotic large subunit ribosomal RNA
Source: RNAcentral